UUGGAUGAGAAUCCAGUCGGCACUUUCUACCUGCGCAAGCACUUGCACAUAGCCAAUCUCUCAUCUGGUGUUAAGUUGUAGCUAGCCGGGGGAAGGUAUUGCUUACCACUAGGAAGUUCUUGCGGGUGGAUCUCUGGCCUAAUUUGAAGGUCAACCAGAUCCUUACGUGAUUUUAGUCCGUCCUUUGCCUUGCCUGAUAAGUCCAAGAAUCUAAUGGUGCUAUCGAACAUAUUCUUCUGAAGAUGCAUCCCAUCAAUGGCAUGGCGCACCGACAGCUCUUGCCAGUAUGGCAAAUACUUAAAGAAGAUAGACAUCUUCUUAAAUGGUAUGUCGAUGUUUGUAGUUUCAGCCUACUUCCUUCCCCUUUUCGAAUUAUCAGCACCACCUAAUGACUUCUUACUGAGUUUGAACUGGACCUUCCGCACAUUUCAAAUAUUAUUUUACCCGUAGUCAAUUUACAUUUGGGCCAUCAAAAAAGUCCUUAGUCCUGCGGUAUUUGUGCGUCUUCAAUAAGAAGUGCCUUUGCCACAUGAACACUAUUUUCAUAGAUCCCUUAAGGUACACAUAUGAUGUACCAUCCAAGCAAACUACGCAUGCUGUCUUACCUUUUACCUGACCUGUCAGGAUAAAUAGGGCGGGAUAAUCAUUGAUGGUAACAAAGAUAAUGACCCUUAGUAUGAAGUGCUCCUAUCCGUACUCAUCUCACAUCCAAACCACAUCUUCCCAAAUCUUCUGCAUAUCCUCCAU
Molecule: long non-coding RNA, 747 nt
Filed under: Setaria viridis
Lineage: Eukaryota; Viridiplantae; Streptophyta; Magnoliopsida; Poales; Poaceae
Description: long non-coding RNA (SVIR_LNC001924)
Source: RNAcentral